GGCGGGACUACCCGCUGAGUUUAAGCAUAUAAAUAAGCGGAGGAGAAGAAACUUACAAGGAUUCCCCUAGUAACGGCGAGCGAACCGGGAGCAGCCCAGCCUGAGAAUCGGGCGGUUGUGCCGUCCGAAUUGUAGUCUGGAGAGGCGUCCUCAGCGACGGACCGGGCCCAAGUCCCCUGGAAAGGGGCGCCUGGGAGGGUGAGAGCCCCGUCCGGCCCGGACCCUGUCGCCCCACGAGGCGCCGUCAACGAGUCGGGUUGUUUGGGAAUGCAGCCCCAAUCGGGCGGUAGAAUCCGUCCAAGGCUAAAUACAGGCGAGAGACCGAUAGCGAACAAGUACCGCGAGGGAAAGAUGAAAAGGACUUUGAAAAGAGAGUCAAAGAGUGCUUGAAAUUGCCGGGAGGGAAGCGGAUGGGGGCCGGCGAUGCGCCCCGGCCGUAUGCGGAACGGCUCUUGCUGGUCCGCCGCUCGGCUCGGGGUGUGGACUGUUGUCGGCCGCGCCGGCGGCCAAAGCCCGGGGGCCUUAGGUGCCCCCGGUGGCCGUCGUCGGCACGGC
This 555-nucleotide ribosomal RNA is filed under the name Triticum aestivum (bread wheat). Its description in RNAcentral is "partial small subunit ribosomal RNA". It matches the Rfam family "Eukaryotic large subunit ribosomal RNA", at positions 14 to 567 of the family's 3401-position model. Lineage: Eukaryota; Viridiplantae; Streptophyta; Magnoliopsida; Poales; Poaceae. The record is from RNAcentral.